RNAcentral lists this transfer RNA (67 nucleotides) under Marmota monax (woodchuck). RNAcentral's name for it is "tRNA.Ala". Lineage: Eukaryota; Metazoa; Chordata; Mammalia; Rodentia; Sciuridae. The record is from RNAcentral.
GGUUGUGGCUCAGUGGUAGAGCACUUGCCUAGCAUGUGUGAGGCACCGGGUUCAAUUCUCAGCACCA